RNAcentral lists this ribosomal RNA (1234 nucleotides) under metagenome. RNAcentral describes it as "SSU rRNA". It matches the Rfam family "Eukaryotic small subunit ribosomal RNA", at positions 558 to 1823 of the family's 1831-position model. The record is from RNAcentral.
AGUCUGGUGCCAGCAGCCGCGGUAAUUCCAGCUCUCAAAGUGCAUAGAAUUAUUGCUGCGGUUAAAAAGCUCGUAGUUGGAUCUGUGCCAUAGGACGGGGUCCACCUUCGGGUGCGUACUCCGCUCCUAGGCUUUUUGCUGGUUUUCCCGUCGUAGCCUUCACUGGUUGCGGCGGGUGGCUGGCGAGUUUACUUUGAGAAAAUCAGAGUGCUCAAUACAGGCGUCUAGCUUGAAUGAUUGUGCAUGGAAUAAUAGAAAAGGAUUUCGGUCCUCUUUUAUUGGUUUUGUGGACUGAGAUAAUGGUUAACAGGGACAAACGGGGGCAUUCGUAUCGCUGCGUGAGAGGUGAAAUUCUUGGACCGUAGCGAGACGCCCUACUGCGAAAGCAUUUGCCAAGAAUGUCUUCAUUAAUCAAGAACGAAAGUCAGAGGUUCGAAGGCGAUCAGAUACCGCCCUAGUUCUGACCGUAAACGAUGCCAACUAGCGAUCCGCCGGUGGAUUUUUAGCCCUGGUGGGUAGCUUCCCGGAAACGAAAGUCUUCCGGUUCCGGGGGAAGUAUGGUUGCAAAGCUGAAACUUAAAGGAAUUGACGGAAGGGCACCACCAGGAGUGGAGCCUGCGGCUUAAUUUGACACAACACGGGGAAACUCACCCGGCCCGGACACCGUAAGGAUUGACAGAUUGAUAGCUCUUUCAUGAUUCGGUGGUUGGUGGUGCAUGGCCGUUCUUAGUUCGUGGAUCGAUUUGUCUGGUUUAUUCCGAUAACGAGCGAGACUCUAGCCUACUAAAUAGUAACGAGAUUGCCAUUGUCUUAGUUGCUUCUUAGAGGGAUUUUCGGUGUUUAGCCGCACGAGAUUGAGCAAUAACAGGUCUGUGAUGCCCUUAGAUGUCCGGGGCUGCACGCGCGCUACACUGGCGAAAUCAGCGUGCUGUAUCCAUUCUCGAAAGAGAUUGGUAAACCCAUGAAAAUUUGCCGUGCUUGGGAUCGGAAAUUGCAAUUAUUUUCCGUGAACGAGGAAUUCCAAGUAAGUGCGAGUCAUCAACUCGCUCUGAUUACGUCCCUGCCCUUUGUACACACCGCCCGUCGCUGCCCGGGACUGUCCCAUUUCGAGGAGAUCAGGGACCGGUGGGCUGUGGCCUCUUCGGAGGUUCGGUCCGUUGGAAACUGAUUUGAUCGCAGUGGCUUGAACCGGGCAAAAGUCGUAACAAGGUAGCCGUAGGUGAACCUGCGGCUG